This 460-nucleotide ribosomal RNA is filed under the name uncultured bacterium. Its description in RNAcentral is "SSU rRNA". It matches the Rfam family "Bacterial small subunit ribosomal RNA", at positions 26 to 518 of the family's 1533-position model. The record is from RNAcentral.
AGAACGAACGCUGGCGGCAUGCCUAACACAUGCAAGUCGAACGCUCUUGGGGCUUCGGUUCCAAGGGAGUGGCGCACGGGUGAGUAGCGCGUGGGAACCUGCCCUGGAGUGGGGGAUAACCGAGGGAAACUUCGGCUAAUACCGCAUGCGCCCGGGAAACCGGGGAAAGAUUUAUCGCUCUAGGAGGGGCCCGCGUCGGAUUAGCUAGUUGGUGGGGUAACGGCCUACCAAGGCUUUGAUCCGUAGCUGGUCUGAGAGGAUGAUCAGCCACACUGGGACUGAGACACGGCCCAGACUCCUACGGGAGGCAGCAGUGGGGAAUAUUGGACAAUGGGCGCAAGCCUGAUCCAGCAAUGCCGCGUGAGUGAUGACGGCCUUAGGGUUGUAAAGCUCUUUCGCUCGGGACGAUAAUGACGGUACCGAGAUAAGAAGCCCCGGCUAACUUCGUGCCAGCAGCCGC